AGACCGCGGGGGCGGGUCGGACGCCUUGCCCAGCCUCAGGCACCCCCUUCAGCCCGUCUGGCCCAUUCCCACUCCCCCAGAGUGCUUGAGGUUCCCGGGACGUUGAAUCCAGCGCCGUGCCUCGCCCGCAGCUGCCCCCGCCCGAGCAGGGCACUGUGCCCGUGGUGAUGCGUGUGCGGCCCUGCGAGCGGAGCGGGCUGGGCCCCCUCCUGCACCUCCGCCACAUCCUCGUCUUCAACCCCGAGGAGCCCGCGGCCCCCCCGUGGGCCCAGGCACCGGGGCAAGGACCGGCUCGUCCGGCACCAGCUUUCCCGGAAGGGCACCGGGCAGGAGGAGGUGUUCCAGCACAGCACCCGCGGGCUCCUGCACAGUGUCCUCGGGGGCUACAGCUGCUCCGUGUUUGUCUAUGGUGUGAUGGGAGCAGGAAAAACCUACACAGUGCUGGGCUGGGAGAAAAACCAGUUCUUCCCUAUUGCUCUGUGCUUUGCCCCAGCUGAAAGCUCAAGAGGCAGAGGCAGCAUCAGAAGAAGUCAAAAAAGCUGGGGAGAGCAGCCAGAUGUGUGUGGCCAGCAGGACUAGAGGAGGGAUUGUCCCCCUGUGCUGUCACUGGUGAGGCUCCACCUUGAAUCCUGGGGUCAGUUCUGGGCCCCUGAGGAGAAGAAGAAUGUUGAGGGGAUGGAGCACAUCUAGAGAAGAGCCAUGGAGCUGGGGAAGGGUCUGGAGCACAAUCUGCUGAGGAGCCACUGAGGGAGCUGGGGUUGUUCAGCCUGGAGCAAAGGAGCUUCCUCCUGGGUGCCUGUGCAAGCGUCACCUGAGGAGCACUUGGAGGAGCCACCCCAGUGACUCAAAGAUGGAAGACUCAUGCUUAAUGUGCACCAUGUUGGAGGGCGUGGAGCAAGUCUGCACGCUGUGUCACUGAGCAGAUGGUGACCCCGAUAUUUCUGGGUCCACACUGGAGACAGACGGGAUCUGUGCCCAUGAGUUUGUUUGAGGACGCUGCAGAAUACUUGACUUUUGGUGUCAGACAUGGCAUUGAGCAGGCAGCACAAAAGCCCUGCUUCGUCUGCAGCCAGAGCGGGGCCACCAUCACCUGUGCUGGGAGAUGGGUUGUGACUGCAGUUUCCAUCUGCCUUGUGCUGCAGAGGGUGAAUGUGUCACCCAGUACAACUUGUCUCUGUUCAGGGCCUUCUGCUGGGAGCACGGCCCACAGCAGGCAGUGGAGGCAGCCCUGGAGGAGAAUGACAUCUGCCUCAUCUGCCUGGAACUUGUGGCGGACAUAAGGGUGUGCCCAGUGUGAAACAUGCAUGGAUCCACGGGAGCUGCACCCAGCAAUACGCUAUAUGCAGUGGAUUUACACAUUUCCAGUGCCCACACUGCAGAAACAGUGUGACCAGUUUCAGCUGGAAAUGUGCAUUAUGGGGAUCCAAAUCCCCCUCAGGCUGCCAUCUGGGGACAGCCAAGCCUUUGCAGAACCACAUGUGAGGCACAGCUGCUGUGAUGACUGAGAGAGCCUUUGCCCAGGUGGAAGAAGAUCAGAAGGUUGUAAAAAUAGGGACAAUGGUUCAAACUUUGUCUUGGAAGAACACAUCCAACAUUCCCCUGGCCAAUUUUGCUGUUUAAUUCAGCCUCUUACGGGGGGGACAUAGUGUCUGAGCUGUCUGUAGUGUCUGAGCUGGCAAAGUAAAGAUGUGACCUUGAAGGCCCAGCAGUUAGAAAAACAUUCCACUGUUAUCAGUCUUAGUUGCAACAGUCUGCUACUAGUUAAAAGAAAGCUUACUGAACGAAAAAAAAAAUCAGUAGAAGGAAAAAUAGCUUAAUCCUGGCUCAAACCAGGACAGCUGGGCUUUUAAAUGAAUGCACUUUUAAAAAUAACAUUUAAAGUUCCAAGGUUUGAUAUUUUUUGGGGGGCAGUUGAGCACUGACUUUACACAGAAAAACACAUUUGAAAUCUGUUUAAUGUUUUAAGGGGGGUCGGGGACAAAUUUGGGGCCCUCUUCAGCUAUUUUGGGUUGAGGGAUCUCUUUUUCAGGCUCUUUUUGGGACUAUUAUGCUGCAAAAAGGUUUUAAAAUCUGUUUAAUCUUUUAAGGAUUAACAUUUAAAGAGGGGCAAGCAUGGAUUUGGGGCAUUUUCCCCGUUUUGUGGUAAAAUUCAGCGUGUUUAAAUUUAAAUUAUUGAUAUUUAACUUUAUUUAAAUCAAUGCUAUUUAUUGAAAUUCUUAUACCCCAGAUUAGGGACCCUGUUUUUAGGGAUCUUUUUGGGUGAUUUUGAGGCACGUUGGAGGAGUUUCAAUGCCUUAUUUUUUAAUUAAUAAUAUUGAACUAAAAUAAUAAAUUUAAAUAAAGUUUAAAUAAAAGUUUGCAUGUAUUUAAAGCAAAAAUUAAAAGUGUAAACUCAAAAGUUUAAGUUAAAAUAAAAUUUAAUA
Long non-coding RNA from Apus apus (common swift), 2423 nucleotides. RefSeq lists it as uncharacterized. The transcript is spliced from 10 exons. NCBI's taxonomy places the organism in Eukaryota, Metazoa, Chordata, Aves, Apodiformes, Apodidae. The record is from RefSeq and is a predicted model, not a curated record.